RNAcentral lists this ribosomal RNA (434 nucleotides) under uncultured bacterium. RNAcentral's name for it is "bacterial SSU rRNA". It matches the Rfam family "Bacterial small subunit ribosomal RNA", at positions 958 to 1392 of the family's 1533-position model. The record is from RNAcentral.
AACGCGAAGAACCUUACCUGGUCUUGACAUCCACGGAAGUUUUCAGAGAUGAGAAUGUGCCUUCGGGAACCGUGAGACAGGUGCUGCAUGGCUGUCGUCAGCUCGUGUUGUGAAAUGUUGGGUUAAGUCCCGCAACGAGCGCAACCCUUAUCCUUUGUUGCCAGCGGCCCGGCCGGGAACUCAAAGGAGACUGCCAGUGAUAAACUGGAGGAAGGUGGGGAUGACGUCAAGUCAUCAUGGCCCUUACGACCAGGGCUACACACGUGCUACAAUGGCGCAUACAAAGAGAAGCGACCUCGCGAGAGCAAGCGGACCUCAUAAAGUGCGUCGUAGUCCGGAUUGGAGUCUGCAACUCGACUCCAUGAAGUCGGAAUCGCUAGUAAUCGUGGAUCAGAAUGCCACGGUGAAUACGUUCCCGGGCCUUGUACACACCG